AAGAUCUUUACCUGCUGAUAAGGCUUGUCUAAAGAGGAAAGUUUUCAAGCCAGUUUUAAAAUCGGACAAUGAUUGCGGGGCUCUCAAAUAGUCUGGGAGAGAGUUCCAAAGACGAGGAGCAGCCACAGCAAAUGCUCGAUCACCCAUAGUCCUUAGUCUUGAUCAAGGAAGGUGGAGAAGAUUGCUGGAUUGGGAUCGUAGGGGUCUAGAAGUUGAAUGUGAAGUAAGGAGGUCCUUCAGGUAAUCUGGUGAGGUUCCAUGUAGACAGUGAUGGGUGAUAAGUGCAAUUUUAUACUGAAUCCUAUAAGUUACAGGAAGCC
Molecule: long non-coding RNA, 320 nt
Organism: Poecilia latipinna (sailfin molly)
Lineage: Eukaryota; Metazoa; Chordata; Actinopteri; Cyprinodontiformes; Poeciliidae
Exons: 3
Source: RefSeq, a predicted model, not a curated record